This 253-nucleotide ribosomal RNA is filed under the name uncultured bacterium. Its description in RNAcentral is "partial 16S ribosomal RNA". It matches the Rfam family "Bacterial small subunit ribosomal RNA", at positions 524 to 776 of the family's 1533-position model. The record is from RNAcentral.
UACAGAGGUCCCAAGCGUUGUUCGGAUUCAUUGGGCGUAAAGGGUGCGUAGGCGGCGCCGUAAGUCGGAUGUGAAAUCUCGGGGCUCAACCCCGAAACUGCAUUCGAUACUGCGGUGCUAGAGGACUCUAGAGGAAACUGGAAUUCACGGUGUAGCAGUGAAAUGCGUAGAUAUCGUGAGGAAGACCAGUGGCGAAGGCGGGUCUCUGGACAGUUCCUGACACUGAGGCACGAAGGCCAGGGGAGCAAACGGG